GUGCUUGCUUUGGCAGCACAUACACUAAGGUUGGAACAAUACAGAGGAGAUUAGCAUGGCCCUGCACAAGGAUGACAUGCAAAUUCGUGAAGCGUUCCAUAUCUUU
RNAcentral lists this small nuclear RNA (106 nucleotides) under Physeter macrocephalus (sperm whale). The record is from RNAcentral. Lineage: Eukaryota; Metazoa; Chordata; Mammalia; Artiodactyla; Physeteridae.